UGGGGAAUAUUGGACAAUGGGGGCAACCCUGAUCCAGCAAUACCGCGUGUGUGAAGAAGGCCUUCGGGUUGUAAAGCACUUUGGGCGGGGAAGAAGGUAUUCUGUUUAAGAGAUGGGAUAUUUGACGGUACCCGCAGAACAAGCACCGGCUAACUCUGUGCCAGCAGCCGCGGUAAUACAGAGGGUGCGAGCGUUAAUCGGAAUUACUGGGCGUAAAGGGCGCGUAGGCGGUCUAUCAAGUGAGAUGUGAAAUCCCCGGGCUUAACCUGGGAACUGCAUCUUAAACUGAUAGGCUGGAGUACUGUAGAGGAUAGUGGAAUUUCCGGUGUAGCGGUGAAAUGCGUAGAGAUCGGAAGGAACAUCAGUGGCGAAGGCGACUGUCUGGACAGAUACUGACGCUGAGGCGCGAAAGCGUGGGGAGCAAACAG
Molecule: ribosomal RNA, 428 nt
Filed under: uncultured bacterium
Lineage: Bacteria
Description: bacterial SSU rRNA
Rfam family: Bacterial small subunit ribosomal RNA
Source: RNAcentral